This 1315-nucleotide ribosomal RNA is filed under the name Deflorita sp. ZJZ-2017. RNAcentral describes it as "16S ribosomal RNA". The stretch from base 879 to 1244 matches the Rfam family "Bacterial large subunit ribosomal RNA", at positions 2072 to 2648 of the family's 2925-position model. The record is from RNAcentral. Lineage: Eukaryota; Metazoa; Arthropoda; Insecta; Orthoptera; Tettigoniidae.
AGAGAUGAUUGAAUAGGUUAUUAGUGUAAAUUAAUAAUAAUAAUAAUAAAAAUGAUUUUAAAGUUAAAGUAUGGUGUAGUGAAUAAAUUUAUUUAUUAAUAGUGUAGAAGUGUACUGUAAAGGGCAAAUGAAAUAUAAUGAAAUAGUAAAUUUGGAGAGAAGAAAAAUCAAUAUUUGUACCUUGUGUAUCAGGGUUUAUCAAAAUUAUUAAUUGAUUAAUUGGUUUCCCGAAAUGGAGAGGGUAAAGGUUAUAUGACAGUUAAUGUAUCAUCAUUAUUGUGAAUUGGACCUUUGUAAUGAAAUAUUAUUCGUUCUCCAUGAUAUCUGGUUUUUCAAGAAAUAAAUUUAAUUUAAAUACUAAUGAAGUAGACACUUAAGUUAUUAAGAGGAUAUUUUUAGUAAUUAAGAUAUAGGGGGAUAAGCUCUUAUAUAAACAUUAUAAGUAAUGAAGAUUUGAUAAUGGGGGUAGGCUUUAAAUUAGCUUUCUAUUUAAAAAUGUUAUAAUUUUCUUAUGGAUAAAGAUGAUUUUUAUUUUAUUUAAUUUUUGUAUUGAAAUACUAAAUUGAAUUUUUUGAUUUAGGUAAUAAUGAUGAAAUGAGUAUAUUAUAAUGUUGAAUUAUUAUUAUUAAUGGAAUUUAUGUUAAGGAAUUAGGCAAAGGUGAGGUUCGCCUGUUUAUCAAAAACAUCUCUUUUUGAGUUUAUAUAAAGUAGGGCCUGCCCACUGAUAUUAUUAAAGGGCCGCGGUAUUGUGACCGUGCAAAGGUAGCAUAAUCAUUAGUCUUUUAAUUGAAGGCUGGAAUGAAUGGUUUGACGAAAUCUUAGCUGUCUCAGCUUAAAUUAUAUAGAAGUUAACUUUUAAGUUAAAAGGCUUAAAUAAUAGUAGAGGACGAGAAGACCCUAUAGAGUUUAAUAUAAUGAGGUUUAUUGAAUUUUUGGUGAUUUAUUAAAUGAAUUAAAAUUAUAUUUUGUUGGGGUGACAUGAAGAUAUAAUUAACUCUUUAUAUUAUGAACAUUGAUGUAUGAAUAGAUGAUCCAUUUAUAUUGAUUACAAGAUUAAAUUACCUUAGGGAUAACAGCAUAAUUUUUUUUGAGAGUUCUUAUCGACAAGGAAGAUUGUGACCUCGAUGUUGGAUUAAGAAAUAUUAUUAGGUGCAGCCAUUUAAUUAAUAGGUCUGUUCGACCUUUAAAUUCUUACAUGAUCUGAGUUCAGACCGGUGUAAGCCAGGUCGGUUUCUAUCCUUACUUAAACUAAUAGGUUUUAGUACGAAAGGACCAAUACUUAUUAAAUAUUUUAUAUAAUUAUGAGUAAUAUUAA